Molecule: long non-coding RNA, 9907 nt
Filed under: Malus domestica (apple)
Lineage: Eukaryota; Viridiplantae; Streptophyta; Magnoliopsida; Rosales; Rosaceae
Description: long non-coding RNA (MDOM_LNC015893)
Source: RNAcentral
AAUAUAAAUGAUGAAUAAUAUUCCUUUUUGAUAAUAAUCCUAAUAUAAAUGAUGAUAAUUAUUUUUCAUGAAAAUAAUCCUAAUAUAAAACAUAGUGAUGAAUAAUAUUCCUUUUUGAUAAUAAUCCAAUUUAAUAAUAAUCCACUUUAAUAAUAAUCCAAUUUAAUGAAUAAUCCAAUAUGAUAAUAAAAAAAACCUAAUAUUAAUGAAUAAUAAUCCUAUUUGAUAAAAAAAUAAUCCUAAUAUAAAACAUAGUGAUGAAUAAUAAUCCAAUUUGAUAAUAAUCCAAUUUAAUAAUAAUCCAAUUUAAUGAAUAGUCCAAUUUGAUAAUAAGCCAAUUUAAUGAAUAAUCCAAUUUAAUGAAUAAUAAUCCAAUUAUCUUAAAAAUAAUCCUAAUAUAAAACAUAGUGAUGAAUAAUAAUCCAAUUUGAUAAUAAUCCAAUUUAAUAAUAAUCCAAUUUAAUGAAUAGUCCAAUUUGAUAAUAAGCCAAUUUAAUGAAUAAUCCAAUUUGAUAAUAAUCUAAUUUAAUGAAUAAUAAUCCAAUUUGAUAAUAACAAAACCUAAUAUUAAUGAAUAAUAAUCCUAUUUGAUAAUAAAACCUAACAUUAAUAAAAUAAUAAAUAACAUUAAACAUAUUAAAAUUAUCCUAGGGAAUAAUUAUAUGUCACAGCCCGUCCCGGAAUUUUUAAUUCCGAGGACGUGAAAUUACAAAAACGCCCUUAAACGGGAUUAAGGUGCGUAAUUUUGGUGUUUGUUUUACUUAAAAUUUCUAAGCUAUUGUUGUGUUGGACUUUAGGUAGGGUCCUAUACCCUAAUUUCCUCCCCAUUUUUCGUAACCUUUCCUUCUCUUUCUUCUUCUUCCAUUUCAGAUCUCUCUCUCUCUCUCUCACCCUCUCGAACACACGGCAACCACCAAGAACCACCACAAUCUUGUACCAACGUUCCAUUUAAGACCACCAUCGUGAUCCUGGGGACUUCACGAGCACGGGGAUACCAAUUUCAGGUGAGUUUCACUUCGAAAACCCUAGUUCUAAAGUUGCCGUGAGAUGACACUGUUCAUGAGCUUUUGAAUUGGUUACGUUUUUAGGCUAAAACAAGAUCACAACGGAGUUUAUUAAGGUCCCAAGGAAGCUUGGAGUGCUUCGUUGGAAGUUUUUGGACGUAAGAACACGGAGAUCGACAAGUUCAAAGUUUGGCCGGAGCUUUCGAGGCGUUUUUCCGGCGAAUCCCUGGCGAGUUAGGAGUCGAGGUAGGUAUCAAUCUCUUCGUCUCGUCAAGUACUACAACUUUCCUUUUUUGUUUCACUCAAUUUCGUUGAGUAUUGAAGAAGUUAUACUCAUUUGAAAAAUACCCAGUUUCCGGCGACCUCCGAGGCUUUCGAGGCAGUUUCCGGCCAAACUACGGCGAACUAGGUGUUGUGCAAGGUACCAUUCUCUUUGUCUCUUCAAGGGCUACAACUUUAGUUUUUGAAUCACUUGAUUUCGUUGAGAAAUGACAAAGUUAUGGCAAUUUGAAAAACUGCCCGGAAAACGGCCGCCGGAAAAACCAGUCCGGCGACCCAAGGAAGAAGAAGGUGCUACAGUAAAAAAUAAAAAAUAAAAAUAAAAUUAUUUUAAAAAUAUGUCGACGUCCGUGACGUCGAGUAGAUCACUGUGGUAUAUUCAUAUACCUAAAUUGAACACCGUAUGAGAAAGUUAUUGAGGAUUGUUGGUUAGGUGUUCAAAUAACGUUUUAUAAUUUUCACAUUAGGUGAAAAUGUGAAUUGAUGAUCCGACCGUUGGAUCAUCACCAAACUUUGAUACGUUGCAAUACGUAAUAUUUGAGGAUUAUUGGAACUUACAGAUUGGGAAUCCGAUUUGCGGAUCUUCCGGAAUUGGAAUUGUAAGUCCAUAAUAUAAAAUGUUAACCGUCACUUAGUUUUGGAAAUUGACGGAGAUCCGACCGUUGGAUGGUAAUGAAAUUUUAGGAUGUUGUCCUAGAGGUAUAAUGUGGACCUCUGGAAGUUAUGGAUUUAAAAUCUGAGGGGUGGAUCUUCCGGAUCAAUCUACGUAGUGACGUAUUUUAUAUAAGUUAUAUAUUCUAUCGAUAUGAAUUCUGAGGUUGGAUUUGAUUACUAUUCUAGGCGGCGAUCGUCGUGACGCCUUGAUGUGUGGUGCUAGGGAGUUGUUGGACGAACUCCAGGUGAGUGGGCAGUUUUGUUUUCCGUAUAUAUAUAUAUACUUAACGUUUUCCCAGAAAUUGAAAAUGCAUGAAAUUAUGUUUAAAAUGAAAUGCAUAUGAGUUAUGUGGAAAAACGGGAAGUGAAAUACCAUGCAUAGAAUUGAUAUGAAAAGUAUAUAGAAAUGUGAGUUGAAAUGCCAUGCAUGAAUUAAUAUAUGAUGCUUAUGUAUGAAUUGGUGCGGUGGACGCACAGGUAAGAAUUGAUUUAUGAUGCAUAUGUAUGAAAUGGUGCGGUGGACGCACAGAUGAGUAUUUAAAUUACUGUUAUGAUGAUGAUGAUAUAUAUUGAGCUCAAAUCCUGCACCAUGGUUUAGUGCUUAUAGUAUUCACCGCAUCGCACGCUCGCCUUGGAUCCAAGUAGAUGCUAGUCGUACAGUCCACGCGGAGUGGGUACGACAGACCAGUCGCGAGAGUGUUAGUGAGAUUCCGACUGGUGGGUGACCUUAGAUUAUGUGCACAGAUGAUUUAUGAGAAGCACUAGAGCGUAACUUGUGUGCAGAAGGCCGGACGGGUCACAGAGGUGACUCCGGUAGAGUGAUAAUGAUAGAUUUUGAGCUCUAGGUUCAACCGUAUAGGGCUAUUAGAGGGCCUACGGUUGAUUACUUUCUUGCACCUGAUAUGAUUAUGUUGAUGCAUUCAUACCUUAUUACUGUUGAGAUGAUGUGGCAUGGCAUAAUUAAUAUGAGAAAUGUUGAGAUGACAUGGCAUGGCAUGAUUGAUAAAGAGAUAAUGUUGAGAUAGUAAAAAUGAAGUUUUGAGAUUAUAUAUGUAUAUUUAUAUUUUACAUUUCUGGGAAAGUAUACAGGUUUUACGGAGAGGGGUUACAACGUUUUGAGAAAUGUUUGGAUUUGGAAAAGAAUUGUUUUACUGACCCACUCAAUUUUGGUUUUGCGCCCCUCCAGGUUCAGGAAUCACAAAGGUGUGGUGACUACGAGGAAUACAGCGGGGUUCUGACAGAUUUGGACAAAAUUAGGACUCACCUUCGGGUGUAUCAACUUAUAAAUUGUAUCUUAAAGCUUCCGUACUGUGCAAAUGGUUACGUCACUCUCACGUGACGGCCAGCAUGCCCUCCUUCGGGACGGGGUGUGUCAGUUGGUAUCAGAGCAUGGUUGCAAUUUUGGACAUUUUGAGAAGUUCUAGUGAAUUCUGUCAGAACUACACCGCCUCGUACCAAACCACGUAGUUAGAGGAACUUAGUCUCCCUAAUUUAGCGGUUUUGGGGGAAACUAUUACUAUGGUGAUUCAGUCUAUUGUCUAAAGGGACAUUUUAAGACGGGUUAUGAGUUGAAUUUGAAUCACCUUAUGGAAUGAUCAACCUGAGGGAACGAAGUGACGGAUUAACCAAUUGGAAAAGAUGUUUCGGAAUAUGCAAGUUAAAGGAAAUUUCCUUCUGACAGGUGGGUCGAGACGACUACCUGGUUUUGGGUAUGAAAUUGUAUCCUGGUGGAAACAGGAAUGUUAAUUGUUGUCACCAGAGGAAUCAGCCGAUUUAAAAUUUUUUAAGGAAAAGUUUAUCCCUCCGGCAUUUAUCGAUGGUAGUAAGCAAGAGUUUGCAAAUGUGAAUCAAGGAAGUUGACGAUAAAGUUAAUGAUUCGUCAUAUCAAGGAUAUAGAAAGAUUCAGAGCUUCGAAAGAAGUGAAGCUAGAGUUAAUUCUUCCAGCUGAGGUUUUAAUGUCGCUGGUCAGAGUAAAAGUGAUGGAUAUACUGGUAAUCCCAGAUAUUUGAGACAAAGUGUCUCGAGUAAAGGAAAUGUACCUUGUGCAGCAGGUACAAAAUUAACACUUUGGGAAAUGUGAAAUUAAUGAAUGUGUUUAUGUGAACAGAGGGGACACAGAAUUGUGAAUCGUCCCUAGAAUCAGUUGUACUCAAUAAUUUUCCAUGAUAUCAUAGUGUCGAUUCAGCAGGUUUAUGGACUUAAUAGUUUGGUCAGAUUGACCGUGGGUACAGAGAGAUUUGAUGAGUUAUAUGUUCAGCCGUACAGACCACGAGAGGUGGAUUUGACUGACACAUGAGAAAUUGGUGAGUUAUAGGCUCGGCCGUACCGACCACGCGGAGUGGAUCUGGCCGACGCAUUAUUGAGGUAAUUGUUGAAUCAGCCGUACAAGUCAUUCUAGUUGACUCUGGCUGAUAUAUAUAUAUUUUAUUAUGAUUGAUAUUACCUAGAGAGUAGUAAAUAAAUGUAGUUGAGACGAGUGUAUGUAUUUUGCAUUGAGUGACAAAAUAGUAAUGUUAUAUCUUUGAGAGUGGUUGCCUACUUAUCGAGACAACGAUGAUUUAUCAGUAUUGCGGGCUGCAGACCGUAAUAUUAAUAACUCAUUCGUGGAUUCGUUAAGCAAGCAACUCGGUAGAUUAUUUUAUGUUAGUAUUGUACUUAUUGGAAUGCUUAAUAAUAAUAGAAUAUAUAUUGUAUCAGUUAAUUCUGUUCCAUUAGAUUGGUUGGUUAUAAUUGUGACAAGACGAAAUGUUAUGGGAAACCAGUACUUUCCAUCGAUCUGGAUGAACAGAGAUUACUUUUGUAAGUAUGCAAAAUGGAUUGAGUCAGGCUGUUAUUUAUGCUGUGAGAGCAAAGAGAUUGUUUUCGAAGACUGUCAAAAAUACUUAGCUCAUGUGGUGCUAAAUGAUGUUGUUUGGAGUAGUGUGAAUAAUGUCGAAAGAGUUAGACUUUUCUUGAUGUCUUCCUUGAAAGUAUACCUGGAUUGCCUUCAGGCAGAGAUAUGAGGUUCAUUAUUGAUUUGUUGCCAGGUAUAAAUUUAUAUUGGAGAUUGGUUCAGGAUGAGUUAUGGGAAUUGGAAAUUCAGUUGAAAGAAUUGGUUGAUAAAAGUUUCAUUCAACCUAGUAGAACACUUUUGAGGAGCCCCAGUUUGUUGGUGAGGAAGAAAAUGGAUCUUGAGACUGUUCAUUGAUUAUAGACAAUGGAGUCGGGUAACGAUUGAGAACCGUUACCCAUGGUGAUGUACUGAUGUUUAUUUAACCAGCUCAGAAGUAAUUGCGAAGAUUCAAAGAUUGAAUUGAGAUCUGGUUACUACCAAUUGAAUAUUAUAAGUGACGUUGAUCAUAAGAUGGUUUUCUGGACUCGUUAUAGUCUUUAUGAAGUUUGGUGAUGCUAUAUGGAUACUCAUGCUGUUUUAUGAGUUGAUGGAUGAAGUAUUCCAAUAAUGCCUUGAUAAAUAGAUAUCAUUUUCAUUGAAGAUAUUCUGGCAUAUUCUGAGCCAGAUCAGAGCAUGUAAACGUAUUAAGUCGGUGGAACAAAGAUUGGAAGAAUGUCGGUUGUAUGCUAAGUAGCAAAUGCUAAAGUUAGAUGAAUCAGGUGGCAUUCUGAGAUUUGUUAUAUAUUCUUAAGGUAUUCAAGUGAAUCCUUAAAAGAUAGCAGAAAUUGAGGAAUUAGAACAACCACGAACUGUAAUUGAGAUUCGGAAUUUCUUAGCUUACCAGGCUAUCUUGGAUGGUUGUGAAAGAUUUUUCAGUCAUUGCUUUGUCAUUGACGAGACUGUUGAGAAAAGAGGUUAUGUAUGAGUGGGAAGGAAAUUGUGAGCAAAGGAUUCAACAACUGAAGUAUUUCCUCACUCAUGCACGUAUUUUAGUAAUCCUAGAAGAUAGUGGUAAUCAUAAAUUUUUAGUGAUGUUUCUUGAAUGGUAUUGGAGGCAUGUUGAUGCAAAUAUUAGGGUGAUUGUAUAUGUUUCACGACAAAUGGAACCUCAUGAGAUGAAUUACCCUACUGGUGAUUUGGAAGUCACGAUUAUCAUCCUUGCUGUGAAGUUAUGGAGACAUUAUAUGUUGAUAGAAUGCAAGAUUUUACAAAUCAAAAGAGUCUCCAAUAUUUGUUUACUCGGAAGGAUUUUGAUAUGAGGCAACAAAGGUGGAUUGAAUUACUUAGUGAUUAUGAUUGUACGAUCAGGGUGAUCGUGAAUUGUUGUAGCUGAAGCACUUGAUGAGAAGACUCCAGUAAGAAUUAAUGCUUGGUACGUUUGCCAAGAGUAUCAUCUUGUGGAUUGAAAACCAAUGGAAGAAAAAUUAAAAAUGGAAGAUCGAGAAGAAGUUAUACUUGUUAAAUUUCAAGUUAAGUCUAUUUGGUAAGGUCGUACUCGAGACUCAAAUGCUUGACGAAGGAAUUCAAGAAUUAACCGAGGCAGAAUUGGAUGGUAUGUUUAUGCAAGAGAAUGGGACGUAUGUGCCAAAUUAUGUGGAAUUAAAGAAAGCAAUUUUGACGAUGUACACUGUUAAGUUUUUGGGUAUGUUGGUUACUUCUAAGUUUUGGAUAGCGUAUAAGAAGCUUGGUUACCAAGUUACCUUAUAGUACACCUUUGUGUUGGACAGAAGUUGUCAAAAGAGUUCUUACGGGCCCUGAGACUAUGGAUGAGUCUCCUCAAAAUAUUCAGGUGAGUAAGUUAACCUGAAAGUAGCCAGGAAUGACAAAAGAGAUUAACAGAUGGAUAUGCCACUAAUCGAGUGUAUAACGUAGAUGAUUUUAUAUUUUUGGAAAUUUCAUCAUGAAAAGAAAUAGUAAGAUUUGGAAAGUAGACAAGAUAAGAUUUAAACACAUCAGACCGUUUUGAUCAUUAAAAGAAUCGAUGAAGUUGCAUACAAGUUUGUGAUGCCUUCAGAAUUGGCUAAGGCACAUAAUGUAUUUUGUGUUCGAUGCGUUGUCACUAGGUGACAGAUUUGUCACAUGGGAUUAUGGUGUAACUAUUGAGAAUUAAAUUGGAUUCGACUUGAUAAGGAACCAAAGACGACUUUGGAUUGGAAAAGAAGGUCCUGAGAAUUAAGACAGAGUAAGCAGUAAAAGCUUUGUGAAGGAAAUCAUUCAGUAGAAAAGUAUGUGGGAGAAAGAGAAUCAGAUGAGAAAGAUUUAUCCGAGGCUAUUGUAUGAGUAUAGAUGAUUUGGUUGGUUGCUGGAAUUUCGGGGACGAAAUUCUAUAAGGAGGGGAGAUUGUCACAGCCCGUCCCGGAAUUUUUAAUUCCGAGGACGUGAAAUUACAAAAACGCCCUUAAACGGGAUUAAGGUGCGUAAUUUUGGUGUUUGUUUUACUUAAAAUUUCUAAGCUAUUGUUGUGUUGGACUUUAGGUAGGGUCCUAUACCCUAAUUUCCUCCCCAUUUUUCGUAACCUUUCCUUCUCUUUCUUCUUCUUCCAUUUCAGAUCUCUCUCUCUCUCUCUCACCCUCUCGAACACACGGCAACCACCAAGAACCACCACAAUCUUGUACCAACGUUCCAUUUAAGACCACCAUCGUGAUCCUGGGGACUUCACGAGCACGGGGAUACCAAUUUCAGGUGAGUUUCACUUCGAAAACCCUAGUUCUAAAGUUGCCGUGAGAUGACACUGUUCAUGAGCUUUGAAUUGGUUACGUUUUAGGCUAAAACAAGAUCACAACGAGUUUAUUAAGGUCCCAAGGAAGCUUGGAGUGCUUCGUUGGAAGUUUUUGGACGUAAGAACACGGAGAUCGACAAGUUCAAAGUUUGGCCGGAGCUUUCGAGGCGUUUUCCGGCGAAUCCCUGGCGAGUUAGGAGUCGAGGUAGGUAUCAAUCUCUUCGUCUCGUCAAGUACUACAACUUUCCUUUUUGUUUCACUCAAUUUCGUUGAGUAUUGAAGAAGUUAUACUCAUUUGAAAAAUACCCAGUUUCCGGCGACCUCCGAGGCUUUCGAGGCAGUUUCCGGCCAAACUACGGCGAACUAGGUGUUGUGCAAGGUACCAUUCUCUUUGUCUCUUCAAGGGCUACAACUUUAGUUUUUGAAUCACUUGAUUUCGUUGAGAAAUGACAAAGUUAUGGCAAUUUGAAAAACUGCCCGGAAAACGGCCGCCGGAAAAACCAGUCCGGCGACCCAAGGAAGAAGAAGGUGCUACAGUAAAAAUAAAAAAUAAAAAUAAAAUUAUUUUAAAAAUAUGUCGACGUCCGUGACGUCGAGUAGAUCACUGUGGUAUAUUCAUAUACCUAAAUUGAACACCGUAUGAGAAAGUUAUUGAGGAUUGUUGGUUAGGUGUUCAAAUAACGUUUUAUAAUUUUCACAUUAGGUGAAAAUGUGAAUUGAUGAUCCGACCGUUGGAUCAUCACCAAACUUUGAUACGUUGCAAUACGUAAUAUUUGAGGAUUAUUGGAACUUACAGAUUGGGAAUCCGAUUUGCGGAUCUUCCGGAAUUGGAAUUGUAAGUCCAUAAUAUAAAAUGUUAACCGUCACUUAGUUUUGGAAAUUGACGGAGAUCCGACCGUUGGAUGGUAAUGAAAUUUUAGGAUGUUGUCCUAGAGGUAUAAUGUGGACCUCUGGAAGUUAUGGAUUUAAAAUCUGAGGGGUGGAUCUUCCGGAUCAAUCUACGUAGUGACGUAUUUUAUAUAAGUUAUAUAUUCUAUCGAUAUGAAUUCUGAGGUUGGAUUUGAUUACUAUUCUAGGCGGCGAUCGUCGUGACGCCUUGAUGUGUGGUGCUAGGGAGUUGUUGGACGAAACUCCAGGUGAGUGGGCAGUUUUGUUUUCCGUAUAUAUAUAUAUACUUAACGUUUUCCCAGAAAUUGAAAAUGCAUGAAAUUAUGUUUAAAAUGAAAUGCAUAUGAGUUAUGUGGAAAAACGGGAAGUGAAAUACCAUGCAUAGAAUUGAUAUGAAAAGUAUAUAGAAAUGUGAGUUGAAAUGCCAUGCAUGAAUUAAUAUAUGAUGCUUAUGUAUGAAUUGGUGCGGUGGACGCACAGGUAAGAAUUGAUUUAUGAUGCAUAUGUAUGAAAUGGUGCGGUGGACGCACAGAUGAGUAUUUAAUUACUGUUAUGAUGAUGAUGAUAUAUAUUGAGCUCAAAUCCUGCACCAUGGUUUAGUGCUUAUAGUAUUCACCGCAUCGCACACGCUCGCCUUGGAUCCAAGUAGAUGCUAGUCGUACAGUCCACGCGGAGUGGGUACGACAGACCAGUCGCGAGAGUGUUAGUGAGAUUCCGACUGGUGGGUGACCUUAGAUUAUGUGCACAGAUGAUUUAUGAGAAGCACUAGAGCGUAACUUGUGUGCAGAAGGCCGGACGGGUCACAGAGGUGACUCCGGUAGAGAGUGAUAAUGAUAGAUUUUGAGCUCUAGGUUCAACCGUAUAGGGCUAUUAGAGGGCCUACGGUUGAUUACUUUCUUGCACCUGAUAUGAUUAUGUUGAUGCAUUCAUACCUUAUUACUGUUGAGAUGAUGUGGCAUGGCAUAAUUAAUAUGAGAAAUGUUGAGAUGACAUGGCAUGGCAUGAUUGAUAAAGAGAUAAUGUUGAGAUAGUAAAAAUGAAGUUUUGAGAUUAUAUAUGUAUAUUUAUAUUUUACAUUUCUGGGAAAGUAUACAGGUUUUACGGAGAGGGGUUACAACGUUUUGAGAAAUGUUUGGAUUUGGAAAAGAAUUGUUUUACUGACCCACUCAAUUUUGGUUUUGCGCCCCUCCAGGUUCAGGAAUCACAAAGGUGUGGUGACUACGAGGAAUACAGCGGGGUUCUGACAGAUUUGGACAAAAUUAGGACUCACCUUCGGGUGUAUCAACUUAUAAAUUGUAUCUUAAAGCUUCCGUACUGUGCAAAUGGUUACGUCACUCUCACGUGACGGCCAGCAUGCCCUCCUUCGGGACGGGGUGUGUCAUUAUACAACAUUACUUAAUUACUUAAAAAAAUUAACAUGUAAUUGUUAACAUUACUUAACUACUUACAAAAAUUAACAUGCAAGUAUUAAUUACUUAAAAAAAUUAACAU